GGGGAUAUAGCUCAUUGUUAGAGCUCUUGCCUCGAAUGCAGAAAGCCCUGGGUUCAAUCCCCAGCACCA
Molecule: transfer RNA, 69 nt
Filed under: Ictidomys tridecemlineatus (thirteen-lined ground squirrel)
Lineage: Eukaryota; Metazoa; Chordata; Mammalia; Rodentia; Sciuridae
Description: Spermophilus tridecemlineatus (thirteen-lined ground squirrel) tRNA
Rfam family: tRNA
About the family: Transfer RNA (tRNA) molecules are approximately 80 nucleotides in length.
Source: Rfam by way of RNAcentral